RNAcentral lists this long non-coding RNA (200 nucleotides) under Homo sapiens (human). Its description in RNAcentral is "HSALNT0262439". The record is from RNAcentral. Lineage: Eukaryota; Metazoa; Chordata; Mammalia; Primates; Hominidae.
CAAUGACCCGGGUCCAAGGCCAUCCACGGUGACUCUGGUGUCUGUUGUGUUUCGAGUCUCUGUUCUGCCACCAUCUCCAGUGCACUGAACGCAGUAGGUGGAGUUCUGUGGGUCUGGGCCGUCGGGGACCUCCCAGGUCAGGGCGAUGGAGCUGUUGGUCUGAGCCUCCACUCUCAGGUUCCUCACUGGGUUGGGAGCUG